This 467-nucleotide ribosomal RNA is filed under the name uncultured bacterium. RNAcentral's name for it is "partial 16S ribosomal RNA". It matches the Rfam family "Bacterial small subunit ribosomal RNA", at positions 28 to 506 of the family's 1533-position model. The record is from RNAcentral.
GACGAACGCUGGCGGCGUGCUUAACACAUGCAAGUCGAACGGAAAGGCCCUGCUUUUGUGGGGUGCUCGAGUGGCGAACGGGUGAGUAACACGUGAGUAACCUGCCCUUGACUUUGGGAUAACUUCAGGAAACUGGGGCUAAUACCGGAUAGGAGCUCCUGCUGCAUGGUGGGGGUUGGAAAGUUUCGGCGGUUGGGGAUGGACUCGCGGCUUAUCAGCUUGUUGGUGGGGUAGUGGCUUACCAAGGCUUUGACGGGUAGCCGGCCUGAGAGGGUGACCGGCCACAUUGGGACUGGGAUACGGCCCAUAGGCCUACGGGAGGCAGCGGUGGGGAAUAGAGCACAAAGGGCGGAGGCCUGAUGCAGCAACGCCGGAUGCGAGAUGACGGCCUUCGGGUUGUAAACCGCUUUCGCCUGUGACUAAGCGUGAGGAACGGUAAUAGGUAAAGAAGCACCGGCUAACUACGU